Molecule: transfer RNA, 88 nt
Filed under: Candidatus Magasanikbacteria bacterium RIFOXYC2_FULL_42_28
Lineage: Bacteria; Candidatus Magasanikiibacteriota
Description: tRNA-Ser
Rfam family: tRNA
About the family: Transfer RNA (tRNA) molecules are approximately 80 nucleotides in length. Their secondary structure includes four short double-helical elements and three loops (D, anti-codon, and T loops).
Source: RNAcentral
GGAGAGGUCGCAUAGUUGGUCUAUUGCGCCGCACUCGAAAUGCGGUAGGCCAGAAAUGGCCUCGUGAGUUCGAAUCUCACCCUCUCCG